Cinara cedri is the source of this 269-nucleotide non-coding RNA. NCBI's taxonomy places the organism in Eukaryota, Metazoa, Arthropoda, Insecta, Hemiptera, Aphididae. The record is from the annotation of a GenBank genome assembly.
ACUACCGCGGAAAAUACUAUUGAGUAUUUUUUCAUGAUAAGAACUGUAUUUGAAAGGGGGCGGAAGGUUCUUAGCCAAGUUUUAGCGCGGAUAAAUCCCCAGAUUCCUCCGUUCUAUUUGUAGUAUACACGUUGUACACAUUCAGACAUACUGCGCACAAAUAAAUAUCUAGUAAAACAAAAACUUGACCUAAAAUAUAAAACCUGCAACUCCACCGAGACCUCAAAACUCCAAAAGUACAAGUACGAAGGAAUUCAGUUCCAGACCAG